UAUGUGAUCGUCUCUCGCAUAUCAAUAAGCGGAGGAAAAGAAACUAACAAGGAUUCCCCUAGUAACGGCGAGUGAAGCGGGAAGAGCUCAAAUUUGAAAUCUUAAAGGGUUUCCCUCUACGAAUUGUAGUUUAAAGAAGUGUUUUCUGUUGAGGUUUUGGUAAAAGUUCUUUGGAAUAGGACAUCAUAGAGGGUGAGAAUCCCGUAUUUGACCUUUACUUUCAACUUUGUGAUACACUUUCAAAGAGAUCGGAUUGUUUGGGAAUGCAGGUCCAAAAUGGGUGGUAAAUUUCAUCUAAAGCUAAAUAUUGGCGAGAGACCGAUAGCGAACAAGUACCGUGAGGGAAAGAUGAAAAGAACUUUGAAAAGAGAGUUAAACAGUACGUGAAAUUGUCAAAAGGGAAGCGUUUGACACCAGUGUUGUUUUUCUGAAAAUCAAUUAAAGAACUGUUUAUGCUAAGCUGUUUAGACUUUAUCAGCUAACUGUUUAGUUUUGAGCUUUUCUUUAAUGCACUUUUCAGUUAACAAGUCAACAUCAAUUUCUUUUGCUGUAAAAAAGCUUGAGGAAGGUGGCUUGAGAUUCGUCUUAAGUGUUUAUAGCCUCUUGCCUAUGCAGUCGGAGAGAUUGAGGUCUGCAGCGUAGAUCCUUCGGGGCUAAAUGCAUUUGUGCUAAGUUAUAACAUUUUAUAGACAACUUGUUGACUAUGAUUUGUCUUGUAGCUUACUCGCUUAUGUUAUUUUACCUACGCUUAGGAUGUUGAGUAGCGACAUACGCAC
RNAcentral lists this ribosomal RNA (776 nucleotides) under uncultured Neocallimastigales. RNAcentral describes it as "partial large subunit ribosomal RNA". It matches the Rfam family "Eukaryotic large subunit ribosomal RNA", at positions 24 to 649 of the family's 3401-position model. Lineage: Eukaryota; Fungi; Neocallimastigomycota; Neocallimastigomycetes; Neocallimastigales. The record is from RNAcentral.